GACGAACGCUGGCGGCGUGCCUAAUACAUGCAAGUAGAACGCUGACGGCGGAGCUUGCUUCUCUGGAUGAGUUGCGAACGGGUGAGUAACGCGUAGGUAACCUGCCUGUUAGCGGGGGAUAACUAUUGGAAACGAUAGCUAAUACCGCAUAAGAGUAGAUGUUGCAUGACAUUUGCUUAAAAGGUGCACUUGCAUCACUACCAGAUGGACCUGCGUUGUAUUAGCUAGUUGGUGGGGUAACGGCUCACCAAGCCGACGAUACAUAGCCGACCUGCGAGGGUGAGCGGCCAAGCUGGGAUGGAGACACGGCCAAGAAUCCUAGGGGAGGCAGCAGUAGGGGACUUUCGGGAAUGGAAGGAAGGCUGAACGAGCAACGCUGCGUGAGAGAAGAAGGUUUCCGGAUCGUAAAGCUCAGUUGUGAGUGAAGAACGUGUGGGAGAGUGGAAAGGUCAGACUGUGACGGUACCUGACCAGAAAGGUACGGCUAACUACGUG
This 495-nucleotide ribosomal RNA is filed under the name uncultured bacterium. RNAcentral's name for it is "partial 16S ribosomal RNA". It matches the Rfam family "Bacterial small subunit ribosomal RNA", at positions 28 to 507 of the family's 1533-position model. The record is from RNAcentral.